RNAcentral lists this ribosomal RNA (308 nucleotides) under uncultured Enterobacteriaceae bacterium. RNAcentral's name for it is "bacterial SSU rRNA". It matches the Rfam family "Bacterial small subunit ribosomal RNA", at positions 355 to 655 of the family's 1533-position model. The record is from RNAcentral. Lineage: Bacteria; Pseudomonadati; Pseudomonadota; Gammaproteobacteria; Enterobacterales; Enterobacteriaceae.
UGGGGAAUAUUGCACAAUGGGCGCAAGCCUGAUGCAGCCAUGCCGCGUGUAUGAAGAAGGCCUUCGGGUUGUAAAGUACUUUCAGCGAGGAGGAAGGUGUUGUGGUUAAUAACCGCAGCAAUUGACGUUACUCGCAGAAGAAGCACCGGCUAACCCGUCGCCAGCAGCCGCGGUAAUACGGAGGGUGCAAGCGUUAAUCGGAAUUACUGGGCGUAAAGCGCACGCAGGCGGUCUGUCAAGUCGGAUGUGAAAUCCCCGGGCUCAACCUGGGAACUGCAUCCGAAACUGGCAGGCUAGAGUCUUGUAGA